CCUCCAGCCUUGCCCCACUGGGUCCCUUUGGUUUGUUUCAGGACCCCUUUCCUGUUAUCCCUUGGGAAAGGAAGCAUUUAUGUGAAUUCCAACCCCCAGGACUGAGGCCAUGCUAUUGUACAGGUAGGCCUGGAACUCCCCAAGUAUGGAACAUGGUCUUUUCCUCACUCAUUCACAAAUGGCUCUGGAGAUGGCCACAGACCAAGAAAGGGUGACCCUUCCUGAAGUCUUGUGGAAGCAGCAUAAGUCCUCAGGGAAGGGCAGAGCUGCCUAAGAACUGAGAAGACUGUGGCAGCCAUGCCCACAACCAGAACACGGAGAGACAGGUGCCUGCCACAGACCCAUUUCCCUCAGGUGUCUCUCCAUGCUCUGGUUGUGCCUCACCACACUCAAGCCUUGGGCAGAGCGAGGCCCCCUGGAGAGCAAGAGCUUGUGGAAAGAAACAGGAAAAACGGGUCAGUGAUUCCUGGCAGAGGGGCAGUCCAGGGCAAAAGCCAGGAGGCGGGGAGGGCCUGGGAGAUGGCCAAGGAGGGCAGAGGAGGCUUGCCCAGUGCAUUUUUGCUGCUUUAUGGGUUGGGGGCAGGGCUGAUAGGCACAAUGGAAAGGAUCAGAGAAAGGGUGUCAGUGUGAUGGAUAGCUUGGCCAUCUUGGGGUACAGGCAAGGCUGGCAGUCAGGGAGGGAGGGGGCUUUCCCACCCUGUGUUCUCACCAGACCCUCAAUAACCAAUGGCCUCAUCUUCCUCUUUCUUGAGCUGUGUGGGAAUAACAAGGCUUGUAACAAACCAUUCUGGCUUGAUGGACAGAACUAGGUAGAUCCCGAGCAGAGCUUAUCUCUGUGUUCCACACCCCAGGCUCUGCUCUAGAGCCCUUCAGCUGGCCAGGCUGCUCCCUCGCUGCCACCAUGUCCCUGCUUGGCCCUCCAUCUUUCUGCUGACUCUGCUAUGAUACCGUGGCCAGAAUGGACUCAAAGGAGCAGGUCAGGAAGAGAUGCCAAAUAGGAGCUUCUGCUUGCAGCUGACACCCCUGUGUGCCAUCACUCAGCCCUCCAGUGUGAUCCUAGUACCCCUGUGCCACCUGGGAUUGAUGGAGGACCUGCCAAGGAGACUUGUGCCUGGAGUGUUCCCAUGCCACUCUACCUCAUAGAUUCUAGAUCUGGAUACACAAUGUGGACUUAAGUCUAAUGACUCCAGGGUCCUCAGACUUGCUCCUGUGAUCCUUGGCU
This is a long non-coding RNA of Phodopus roborovskii (desert hamster), 1222 nucleotides long. RefSeq lists it as uncharacterized. NCBI's taxonomy places the organism in Eukaryota, Metazoa, Chordata, Mammalia, Rodentia, Cricetidae. The record is from RefSeq and is a predicted model, not a curated record. The transcript is spliced from 3 exons.